This 400-nucleotide ribosomal RNA is filed under the name uncultured bacterium. RNAcentral's name for it is "bacterial SSU rRNA". It matches the Rfam family "Bacterial small subunit ribosomal RNA", at positions 355 to 773 of the family's 1533-position model. The record is from RNAcentral.
UGGGGAAUAUUGGACAAUGGGCGCAAGCCUGAUCCAGCAAUGCCGCGUGUGUGAAGAAGGUCUUCGGAUUGUAAAGCACUUUCGGCGGGGACGAUGAUGACGGUACCCGCAGAAGAAGCCCCGGCUAACUUCGUGCCAGCAGCCGCGGUAAUACGAAGGGGCCAGCGUUGCUCGGAAUGACUGGGCGUAAAGGGCGCGUAGGCGGUUGUCACAGUCGGGUGUGAAAUUCCUGGGCUUAACCUGGGGACUGCAGUCGAGACGCGGUGGCUUGAGUGGGGAAGAGGGUCGUGGAAUUCCCAGUGUAGAGGUGAAAUUCGUAGAUAUUGGGAAGAACACCGGUGGCGAAGGCGGCGACCUGGUCCUUUACUGACGCUGAGGCGCGAAAGCGUGGGGAGCAAAC